This 221-nucleotide unclassified non-coding RNA is filed under the name uncultured fungus. Its description in RNAcentral is "sequence contains ITS1". The record is from RNAcentral. Lineage: Eukaryota; Fungi.
UUUAACAUUUGUUUUUAACAUUUCAGACAGAAGACAUUGGAUUCAUGAAUUUAAUGAUUACCCCCCAUGGGGACUCUCUUGGGAUUCGCAUCACAAGAGUGACCAAAGUCAGGCCCCAUGGAAGCAACAGGCAAGGUACUCGGAAUGGGUUUGUGCAGUUGAUACAGGAUAUGUAUAACCAAUUACUUUUAAUGAUCCUUCCGCAGGUUCACCUACGGAAA